This 236-nucleotide ribosomal RNA is filed under the name uncultured bacterium. RNAcentral's name for it is "partial 16S ribosomal RNA". It matches the Rfam family "Bacterial small subunit ribosomal RNA", at positions 15 to 244 of the family's 1533-position model. The record is from RNAcentral.
GAUCAUGGCUCAGGAUGAACGCUAGCGGCAGGCUUAACACAUGCAAGUCGAGGGGCAGCGCGGGAUAGCAAUAUCCUGGCGGCGACCGGCGGAAGGGUGCGUAACGCGUGAGCGACAUGCCCGUUGCCCGAGGACAACCGGUGGAAACGCCGACUAAUCCCCGACUGGGAGUAUUGUGCCGCAUGGCACGAUAUUGAAAGUUAACGGCGGCGACGGAUUGGCUCGCGUCCGAUUAG